CGGACCGGGCCCGGCCGCGCUUCCGGCGCCGCGGCUCCAUGGACGCCAAGCUGCGCUUCUGGAGGGCGGAGGGGCAGUCUUUCUUCCAGAGGUUUCUCCUCUGGUCGGACGCCUUGGAUCCGCUGCUGCUCCUCAAGUCCACCAAUGAAAUACAAAGAACCAGGUUAUUAAUACAAAACAAUGAGAAGACCCUAAGUGAGCCCAUACAGAAUAAUCAGACUAAACAAGCCUUCUUACUAAGCCUGUCCAGCAUACAUCCUGAUACAGACAAGAUAAUUCCUGUUUUGUUUAGACCUCCUGCUUUCAUGCCCAUAACUCUUCCCUUGGUCAUUGUUUCAUCUGUUCAGAGCCAGGCAAAGCAUUCUUUAUUUUGGCAGUUUGUGUUUCACACAUACACCACAGCAUUCACUCUGGUAAAUGGAAAUGGCACCCCAAAGGCUGAAGAAUACUCACUUCGUCAAAAGCAGAUCUUUCUUGGCUUGUUAGCCAUUUCCUAUUCAGCCUGUGUUGGUGCUCUCCCUCUUGCCUUCAUGAAUCGUUAUGUGCUGAAGAGCUCAUUAAUGCAACUUGUCGUCAGAAAACUUCUCCCUGCUCCUCUGUUUGGUUUGACAAGUGCAUUUACUGUGGCGGUGGUGAGAAGCCCAGAAUUUGAGAAUGGGAUAGAAGUGAUGGACAGGAAUGGCAAGGUUAUAGGAGUGUCUAAGAAGGCUGGUGAGAAGGCUGUUACGGAGACUGCAUUGUCCAGAGGAGUCUUGUUUGGGACAACGUUCUUCCUGCCAGAAGUGCUCAUGUACUGUGUGCAGAGAGCAAGAUUCGUUAAAAAUCCUCGUGCUUUGGGUUCAGUGAGGAUGUUUGUGAUCAUGUCAGUCCUAGCAGGGAUGCUGCCAGCCUCAUUUAGUAUGUUCCCACAGUGUGGGGAGAUAAAGCGAGCAGACCUUGAACCAGAAAUUCUGUCAUCUACAGAAGAAACAGAGUUCUUCUACAACAGGGGAAUCUAGAGCCUGGCUUUUAGAUAUAGAUGUGUGCUGUGAUCCAAGUGAAUUCUGAUUGCAGCACUGGCAUUUGUGGCUGAAUUGUGAUUCUGUGGUGGCAAAGGUGCCAGAUCCUGUGAAUGAUGGUGUGGCCUGUAAAGAGGCAGAACUUUGCAACAUGGCUUUGCCAGCCCAGCCUGGUGGCACCUGAAGCUGAAAAGUACUAGAAAAUCACUAUAACACAGCCUUUGUCACAACCUGUGUUCUGUGCUUCCUCAGGAACCCAGCUGGUGAAGGCUUUGACAUCAGUACUCCUGUGGGUAAAGUCCAGCUGGUUCUUAUCAGAACACUUUGAUGUUUUCAGUGAUCUACCAAUGCUCAUUUUGAGGAUGAGACGUGACUGAGGCAGCCCUUGAAGUUAUAUUGGACAAAGCAACCCUGAUGGCAAUGGAAUAUUGGUUUAAUUUAGUUGUCUAAAAAGUGUUCAGGAAAUGGGUGUCAGACUUGAUUACCAAUUAGUUCCUGGCUUUCUAAACAUCCUUGAAGUAGUUGUGAGGCCUGAUGGCCCUUGAGCUUUAGAGCUUGUUUUUUUACACUGAAAUCAUGAGGAGAUCCCAUGGCUUUCUGACCUUGCGGGGGACAACGAGGAAUUCCACUUUUGAAGGUUGGCUGUGGUUAUCCAAAGAAAGAAAGCAAGCUCUUUUGAUAUGUAGCAUUAUUUUGGUGUGUUGAUCAGCGAGGUGAUACAUUUUGCUGAUCCUGUGAAAUUAUUCAGGGACCCUCAGCUGUCUGGGAAGGGCUGCAGAAAGAGCUUAUAGGACACCCUGUGAUUGUGACAACAUCUUCAGUGAUUUUUGAGCCACCUCUCCUACAGCCCCUGCCUGUGGUUAUGUGUGGUGCUGCUAAGGCUAUGUGACAAGGAUGGAAAUGCAUUAAAUAAUGGAAAAUUAUUUAUGUGAAAGUGAUUAGCACAAGUGCAGCCUCCAAAGUGUGCCAUAAUUUAACUUCCUUAGGGCACAUCAUGCAGUUCACUGCUCUGCAUUUGCUGGAGGAUUGG
Pseudopodoces humilis (Tibetan ground-tit) is the source of this 2028-nucleotide RNA transcript. It is a transcript of the gene named sideroflexin 4, with no coding region annotated. The record is from RefSeq and is a predicted model, not a curated record. Lineage: Eukaryota; Metazoa; Chordata; Aves; Passeriformes; Paridae.